UACGUAGGUGGCAAGCGUUGUCCGGCAUUAUUGGGCGUAAAGCGCGCGCAGGCGGUUUGCUAAGUCCAUCUUAAAAGUGCGGGGCUUAACCCCGUGAUGGGAUGGAAACUGGCAGACUGGAGUAUCGGAGAGGAAAGCGGAAUUCCUAGUGUAGCGGUGAAAUGCGUAGAGAUUAGGAAGAACACCGGUGGCGAAGGCGGCUUUCUGGACGACAACUGACGCUGAGGCGCGAAAGCGUGGGGAGCAAACAGG
This 252-nucleotide ribosomal RNA is filed under the name uncultured bacterium. RNAcentral's name for it is "partial 16S ribosomal RNA". It matches the Rfam family "Bacterial small subunit ribosomal RNA", at positions 524 to 776 of the family's 1533-position model. The record is from RNAcentral.